AUUGAACGCUGGCGGCAUGCCUUACACAUGCAAGUCGAACGGCAGCACGGGUGCUUGCACCUGGUGCCGAGUGGCUAACGGGGGAGUAAUCCAUCGGAACAAUUCCCGUAAUGUUGGUUAACCUGGCGAAAGCUGGAUUAAUAACGCAAAGGAAUCACCGGCGAAAUCGGGGGGCUUUCAGAGCUCGCCCUAUAAGGUUGGCCGAUGGCUGAUUAGCUAUUUGGUGGGGUAAAGGCCUUCCAGGCAGACGAUCAGUGGGUGGUCUGAGAGCCAGUCCAGCCACACUGGGACUGAGACACGGCCCAGACUCCUACGGGAGGCAGCAGUGGGGUAUUUUGGACAAUGGGCGAAAGCCUGAUCCAGCGAGGCCGCGUGUGUGAAGACGGCCUUCGGGUUGUAAAGCACUUUUGUCCGGAAAGAAAUCCUUGGCCCUAAUACGGUCGGGGGAUGACGGUACCGGAAGAAUAAGCACCGGCUAACUACGUG
Molecule: ribosomal RNA, 486 nt
Filed under: uncultured bacterium
Lineage: Bacteria
Description: partial 16S ribosomal RNA
Rfam family: Bacterial small subunit ribosomal RNA
Source: RNAcentral